Molecule: ribosomal RNA, 406 nt
Filed under: uncultured bacterium
Lineage: Bacteria
Description: partial 16S ribosomal RNA
Rfam family: Bacterial small subunit ribosomal RNA
Source: RNAcentral
AUUGAACGCUGGCGGCAGGCCUAACACAUGCAAGUCGAACGAGUGGCGGACGGGUGAGUAAUGUCUGGGAAACUGCCUGAUGGAGGGGGAUAACUACUGGAAACGGUGGCUAAUACCGCAUACCAUCGGAUGUGCCCAGAUGGGAUUAGCUAGUAGGGGGGGUAAAGGCUCACCUAGGCGACGAUCCCUAGCUGGUCUGAGAGGAUGACCCGCAAAACUGGAAAUGCGACACGGUCCAGACGCCUACGGGAGGCAGCAGUGGUGAAUAUAGCACAAUGGGCGCAAGCCUGAUGCAGCCAUGCCGCGUGGAUGUAGAGGUCCUUCGGGUUGUAAAGUACUUUCUGCGGGUAGGCGUUACCCGCAGAAGAAGCACCGGCUAACACCGUGCCAGCAGCCGCGGUAAUAC